UGAGUUAGGAAUAACGGCUGGAAACGGUCGCUAAUACCAAAUACGCUCCGAUUUCAACUUCGGGGGAAAGGGUAGGCCUCUGCUUGCAAGCUACUGCUCAUGGAUGAGUCCGCGUCCCAUUAGCUAGUUGGUGGGGUAACGGCCCACCAAGGCGACGAUGGGUAGCCGGUCUGAGAGGAUGACCGGCCACACUGGGACUGGAACACGGCCCAGACUCCUACGGGAGGCAGCAGUGGGGAAUAUUGCGCAAUGGGCGAAAGCCUGACGCGGCGACGCCGCGUGAGGGAUGAAGGUCCUCGGAUCGUAAACCUCUGUCAGGAGGGAAGAACCGCCACGGUGCUAAUCGGCCGUGGUCUGACGGUACCCCCAAAGGAAGCACCGGCUAACUCCGUGCCAGCCGCCGC
RNAcentral lists this ribosomal RNA (404 nucleotides) under uncultured bacterium. RNAcentral describes it as "bacterial SSU rRNA". It matches the Rfam family "Bacterial small subunit ribosomal RNA", at positions 133 to 518 of the family's 1533-position model. The record is from RNAcentral.